Molecule: RNA transcript, 2858 nt
Organism: Ananas comosus (pineapple)
Lineage: Eukaryota; Viridiplantae; Streptophyta; Magnoliopsida; Poales; Bromeliaceae
Gene name: DNA repair protein XRCC2 homolog
Exons: 11
Source: RefSeq, a predicted model, not a curated record
UGUAAAGAAGGGGUUUUUGAAAACCCUAACAAUGGCGGAGGACCCCCGAGCUUGGAUCCAUGGCGACGAGGCCGCGAGAGAGGCGCUGGCUAGGGUUCUCUCCGCUCGCCCCUUCCUCCUCCUCCCUCCCCUCCACCGCGUCCCCCUCCGCGUCGGCAAUGUCGUCGAGAUCGCCGGCGCCUCCAACUCCGCCAAGUCCCAAGUCCUCCUCCAGGCUGCUGUUCACUGCAUUUUGCCCAAAGAGUGGAGGGGAAUCCAUUUCGGGGGGUUGGAGCGGGUUGUGGCCUACUUUGAUCUCGAUUGCCGCUUCGAUGUGCUUCGGCUAUCGCAGAUUUUGAGGCAUAGGAUUAUGGAACAUUUUGGUUCAACUCAUCAUACUGAUUGGCAAAUGAAUGAAGGUUGUCAGAAGAAUGACACCAAGGUUGCAUGGACUUGUGAAUUUGAUGAAGAACUACUUCUUUCUUGCAUGAGGCGUUUCCUGUAUAUUCGUUGUUAUAGCAGCUCUGAUUUUUUGGCUGCUCUCAAGACAUUGCAUGGCCAGUCUGAGAGGAAGAGUGAUGCUCUUGGUAGUGGUAUCUAUUUCCUUAUGAUAGACAGCAUUGGUGCAUUCUAUUGGAUAGAUCGAACUUGUCAACCCCUACCACUCGGAGACAAUAAAAGGAAGAACUUAUCGCCUCAAACUUUGGCAGAAUCCAUUGUCCAAGAGAUCCGUAAGCUCUUAGAGCUGCAACCUAUGUUGGUACUAGCGUCAAAAACAACACUUUUUGGAGCUGGAAGCUUAACAAAUGCCACACAAAGGACUUCUGGAAAGUGGCAUUCGGUAGAAGCCACAGAUUUCAGAACUUCAAAUUGGGACGGCAGAAGAAACCUCCCAUUUCAUGAAUACAUGCCUUUGGUGUGGCAGUCAUUUGUUACACACAGGGUACAAUUGCAAGUUUCAGAGGGAUUUACUUCUGAGGUGGAAAAUAAACAACUUUCAGUAUAUAUAUCUGAAUGGGUGCAGCCUCCACUAAAUAUAAAGGACAAAUUUACUGUGAGGGAUGAUGGUAUUGUUGUGAUACCAUGAAUCUAUUCUAGAAGCUGUGAUUAAAUGCAAUGAUUUGCUUCCAGAUUUUUCAAUUGGCCAGUUUCUUGAUUUGGCAGUGGGAGGGAUGCGAGACAAAGUUAAAUUGAAGUUCUGUGACAAUUUAGACUCUUUAGAACUUCAUUUUGGGGAAGUAUUGUUCGGUUAUAACUUAUGCGGUAUAGAAAUAUCUUUUUCGUGAUUGCUACCUUAGAGUUUUAGUUCAAUGCAAGAUCCUCAUAAUCAUGAUUUUUUAAAGGAUUAAUGUAUUAUGCCUAUUAGAUGAUUUCAUAAGACAUUGUAUAUCACUAGGUUGUGGGCAUCUUUCAUUCUUUGUAUCAACCGAUUGUUUUAUGUCUGGUGAGUAAUCAAAAGAGAGAUGCUGAACGAGAUUCUUUGUGUUUCCAAAUAGUCUAACAUCCUGCAUUACUGUAUAUAUCAAAAUUCUAAAUAUCUAUGAGCAUUUAGGUGAUUUAAGAAACUACAAUAGUAAUAGUUGAACAUAGAUCUAUUAGCUAUGAUAGGAAGAAGCUGGGUUAGGGACAUUCCAGAAACAUUGAGGAUGGGAAUUAGAGGUUUCAAUUGGAAACGGUCACCGUAAGUUCAUCGCGUUGACACUCCUACUUAAGAGAAAGAAUAGGAGAUACUGAUGAUGAUAGUGAUGGUAGUACUAAUGAGGUAGGCAGAGAGGAGAGUUUUCUGUUAUUAAUGCAUAAACUAUGUUUGAUAUUCAAAGAAUAUUCCAUGAUCUGCAUACAAUAGAGAACUUGUGGUAUGUAGCAUGCUGUUUCCAAAACAUUAAUAAGAAUGAUCACCCAACAGUACACAGAUCUCUUUAAAUGUUUAGGAAAUUGUGUUUGACUAUCUUUCUCUUUAUUAGUAUUCUCUUUUUCAAGUCAAAGCUUCAAUCAGCAUCACACUCUUUAUGAAGAGUUGUUUGAUUAAGGUGACAUUAUCGACAAGUUCAUGUAGGUAAAGUUGAUUCUAAACUAGGAGAAUUUAAGAGCUUACUCUAUGUUUAUGAAUCAAAUAAGUUAAUGGUUAAGAGUAGUCCCUUGUUGAAUUAAAAAUUUCAUGUCAAGUUUAGGAGAAAACCAGGAGAAUUUAGUUUUGUUCAAUAAAUUUGGGAGAAUUUAGUUUGUUCUAUAUUUUAUGAAUCCAACAAAUUAAUGGUUUUGAAUAUAAGUUUUUCAUAGUCCUCCAUUAUUUCAACUUUGUUACCUUCUGACUGUAGUCAAAUAUGGCAGCUUUUGCAGUCACUAGUGAUAAUGACACUUCUAAUUGCCUUUGACUUGUGCCAUGAUUAUAAUUUUCUGGUUUCAUACCUCAUUAGCAUAUUAGUAUUUCCCCCACUCAUUUUGGAUCAUGUGUUUAGUUAAUCAAAACCCUAGCUUUUGUCUAUUAUGUUAAAAUAAUUUUAUGGAGGUGGCUAAUUAUAAGCUUUCAUGUAUUUUUAUUGUGCAUUUCUUCUCAUUUUUUGGCGUGAAAUUUAAUUCAAAACUUUGCAGAAGCAGUGUCUCACCAAACGUACACUAGAAGUUUUAUUUUAAACUCAAAAUUUGCUUGGACUUUCUAAAAGAUGCAAAAGCACAAUCUCUAAAUAAAAGUUUAAUUUGUUUGAUAUAUAUAUAUAUCAAACAAAUUAAUAGCUAGUGACAAUACUUUGAGUUCUUCUGUUGAUUCAAUCACAAAAAAGAAUUCUUAAACAGAGAAAUAAGGAGAAAAAAAACAAAAAAAUGCACUUAAUUUUUAUUUAUUUAUUUAUUUUUUGAGAUCGACUCUUGAGCAUUUAUUG